Molecule: ribosomal RNA, 684 nt
Filed under: uncultured Bacteroides sp.
Lineage: Bacteria; Pseudomonadati; Bacteroidota; Bacteroidia; Bacteroidales; Bacteroidaceae
Description: bacterial SSU rRNA
Rfam family: Bacterial small subunit ribosomal RNA
Source: RNAcentral
AGAGUUGUAUCCUGGCUCAGGAUGAACGCUAGCGGAAGGCAUAAUACAUGCAAGUCGAACGGAUGUAGCAAUACAUUAGUGGCGCACGGGUGCGUAACGCGUAUGCAACCUACCUUCAUCAGGGGGAUAACUACUCGAAAGGGUGGCUAACACCGCAUAAGAUUAUUGAGUGGCAUCACUUGAUACUUAAAUCUGAGGAGGAUGAAGAUGGGCAUGCGUCUGAUUAGCUAGUUGGUGUGGUAACGGCGCACCAAGGCGACGAUCAGUAGGGGAACUGAGAGGUUGGUCCCCCACACUGGCACUGAGAUACGGGCCAGACUCCUACGGGAGGCAGCAGUAGGGAAUAUUGGUCAAUGGUGGGAACACUGAACCAGCCAUUCCGCGUGCAGGAAGAAGGGUCUCUGACUUGUAAACUGCUUUAGCAAGGGAAGAAAAAACUCAUGCGUGAGGAAUUGACGGUACCUUGAGAAUAAGCACCGGCUAACUACGUGCCAGCAGCCGCGGUAAUACGUAGGGUGCAAGCGUUGUCCGGAUUUAUUGGGUUUAAAGGGUGCGUAGGCGGCUCACUAAGUCAGUGUUAAAAUUUUGCGGCUCAACCGUAAGUCUGGCAUUGAUACUGGUAAGCUUGAGUAUAUGUGAGGUAGGCGGAAUUGAUAGUGUAGCGGUGAAAUGCAUAGAUAUUAU